RNAcentral lists this ribosomal RNA (999 nucleotides) under Klebsiella variicola. RNAcentral describes it as "bacterial SSU rRNA". It matches the Rfam family "Bacterial small subunit ribosomal RNA", at positions 582 to 1520 of the family's 1533-position model. Lineage: Bacteria; Pseudomonadati; Pseudomonadota; Gammaproteobacteria; Enterobacterales; Enterobacteriaceae. The record is from RNAcentral.
GUUCGUCGUCUGGAAUAUCGUCCUCUUCGGCGCGGAAAUUGACCCGCAAACGCUGCUGAAAGAACGCGCGUACCGGGUGCUGCCAGAAACGCAGGAGGAACUGCAUUCGAAACUGGCAGGCUAGAGUCUUGUAGAGGGGGGUAGAAUUCCAGGUGUAGCGGUGAAAUGCGUAGAGAUCUGGAGGAAUACCGGUGGCGAAGGCGGCCCCCUGGACAAAGACUGACGCUCAGGUGCGAAAGCGUGGGGAGCAAACAGGAUUAGAUACCCUGGUAGUCCACGCUGUAAACGAUGUCGAUUUGGAGGUUGUGCCCUUGAGGCGUGGCUUCCGGAGCUAACGCGUUAAAUCGACCGCCUGGGGAGUACGGCCGCAAGGUUAAAACUCAAAUGAAUUGACGGGGGCCCGCACAAGCGGUGGAGCAUGUGGUUUAAUUCGAUGCAACGCGAAGAACCUUACCUGGUCUUGACAUCCACAGAACUUAGCAGAGAUGCUUUGGUGCCUUCGGGAACUGUGAGACAGGUGCUGCAUGGCUGUCGUCAGCUCGUGUUGUGAAAUGUUGGGUUAAGUCCCGCAACGAGCGCAACCCUUAUCCUUUGUUGCCAGCGGUUAGGCCGGGAACUCAAAGGAGACUGCCAGUGAUAAACUGGAGGAAGGUGGGGAUGACGUCAAGUCAUCAUGGCCCUUACGACCAGGGCUACACACGUGCUACAAUGGCAUAUACAAAGAGAAGCGACCUCGCGAGAGCAAGCGGACCUCAUAAAGUAUGUCGUAGUCCGGAUUGGAGUCUGCAACUCGACUCCAUGAAGUCGGAAUCGCUAGUAAUCGUAGAUCAGAAUGCUACGGUGAAUACGUUCCCGGGCCUUGUACACACCGCCCGUCACACCAUGGGAGUGGGUUGCAAAAGAAGUAGGUAGCUUAACCUUCGGGAGGGCGCUUACCACUUUGUGAUUCAUGACUGGGGUGAAGUCGUAACAAGGUAACCGUAGGGGAACCUGCGGUUG